CUCGGCAAACGGCUCAGUAACACGUGGGUAACCUACCCUCAGGACAGGGAUAACCCCGGAAAACUGGGGAUAAUACCUGAUAGGUGGAUAUGUCUGGAACGACUUUCCGCUCAAAUGCUCCGGCGCCAAAGGAUGGGCCUGCGACCGAUUAGGUUGUUGGCGGUGUAAUGGACCACCAAGCCUGCGAUCGGUACGGGCGUUGAGAGACGUAGCCCGGAGAUGGGAACUGAGACACGGUCCCAGGCCCUACGGGGCGCAGCAGGCGCGAAAACUCCGCAAUACACGAAAGUGUGACGGGGGGACCCCAAGUGCAUUCACGCAAGUGAAUGCUUUUGUGAAGUGUAAAUAGCUUCACGAAUAAGAGCUGGGUAAGACCGGUGCCAGCCGCCGCGGUAACACCGGCAGCUCGAGUGGUGAUCACUAUUAUUGGGCCUAAAGCGUCCGUAGCCGGUUUGGUAAGUCCUUGGGCAAAUCCUACCGCUUAACGGUAGGAAUUCUGGGGAUACUGCCAGACUUGAGGCCGAGAGAGGUCGGAGGUACUUCAGGGGUAGCGGUGAAAUGCUAUAAUCCCUGGGGGACCACCAGUGGCGAAAGCGUCCGACCAGAGCGGGCCUGACGGUAAGGGACGAAAGCCAGGGGAGCGAACGGGAUUAGAUACCCCGGUAGUCCUGGCCGUAAACGCUGCAUGCUAGGUGUUGCAUGCUCUACGGG
This 711-nucleotide ribosomal RNA is filed under the name uncultured archaeon. Its description in RNAcentral is "bacterial SSU rRNA". It matches the Rfam family "Archaeal small subunit ribosomal RNA", at positions 77 to 789 of the family's 1478-position model. The record is from RNAcentral.